This 253-nucleotide ribosomal RNA is filed under the name uncultured bacterium. RNAcentral describes it as "partial 16S ribosomal RNA". It matches the Rfam family "Bacterial small subunit ribosomal RNA", at positions 524 to 776 of the family's 1533-position model. The record is from RNAcentral.
GACGAACCGUGCGAACGUUGUUCGGAAUCACUGGGCUUAAAGGGCGCGUAGGCGGGCGACCAAGUCAGGGGUGAAAGCCCACGGCUCAACCGUGGAAGUGCCUUUGAUACUGGUCGCCUCGAGGGAGGUAGGGGCGUGCGGAACUUCCGGUGGAGCGGUGAAAUGCGUAGAUAUCAGGAAGAACACCGGUGGCGAAGGCGGCUCGCUGGGCCAGUUCUGACACUCAUCCGCGAAAGCGUGGGGAGCAAACAGG